GUACGAUCUUGGUCUAGCGAUCGUACAAGAGUAAAAAUGCAAAAAAAUCGUAUGAGUACGAUUAAAAUCUUACAUCUGGCAGCCCUGGUCCUCGGCGCCGACGAAUGAUCGUGGCGCGGG
Molecule: long non-coding RNA, 120 nt
Organism: Melitaea cinxia (Glanville fritillary)
Lineage: Eukaryota; Metazoa; Arthropoda; Insecta; Lepidoptera; Nymphalidae
Exons: 3
Source: RefSeq, a predicted model, not a curated record